This 446-nucleotide ribosomal RNA is filed under the name uncultured bacterium. RNAcentral's name for it is "partial 16S ribosomal RNA". It matches the Rfam family "Bacterial small subunit ribosomal RNA", at positions 338 to 795 of the family's 1533-position model. The record is from RNAcentral.
CCUACGGGGGGCAGCAGUCGAGAAUCAUUCACAAUGGGGGAAACCCUGAUGGUGCGACGCCGCGUGGGGGAAUGAAGGUCUUCGGAUUGUAAACCCCUGUCAUGUGGGAGCAAAUUAAAAAGAUAGUACCACAAGAGGAAGAGACGGCUAACUCUGUGCCAGCAGCCGCGGUAAUACAGCGGUCUCAAGCGUUGUUCGGAAUCACUGGGCGUAAGGCGUGCGUAGGCUGUUUCGUAAGUCGUGUGUGAAAGGCGCGGGCUCAACCCGCGGACGGCACAUGAUACUGCGAGACUAGAGUAAUGGAGGGGGAACCGGAAUUCUCGGUGUAGCAGUGAAAUGCGUAGAUAUCGAGAGGAACACUCGUGGCGAAGGCGGGUUCCUGGACAUUAACUGACGCUGAGGCACGAAGGCCAGGGGAGCGAAAGGGAUUAGAUACCCUUGUAGUC